RNAcentral lists this ribosomal RNA (460 nucleotides) under uncultured bacterium. RNAcentral's name for it is "partial 16S ribosomal RNA". It matches the Rfam family "Bacterial small subunit ribosomal RNA", at positions 338 to 795 of the family's 1533-position model. The record is from RNAcentral.
CCUACGGGAGACUGCAGUGAGGAAUAUUGGUCAAUGGACGGAAGUCUGAACCAGCCAUGCCGCGUGCAGGAAGACGGCUCUCUGAGUUGUAACCUGCUUUUGUACAAGGGUAAACCUGAAUACGUGUAUUCAGCUGAAAGUACUGUACGAAUAAGGAUCGGUUAACUCCGUGCCAGCAGCCGCGGUAAUACGGAGGAUCCAAGCGUUAUCCGGAUUGAUUGGGUGUAAGGGGUGCGUAGGCGGAUUGAUAAGUUAGAGGUGAAAUGUCCGAGUUUAACUCGGGAACUGCCUCUAAUACUGUUGAUCUAGAGAGUAGAUGCGGUAGGCGGAAUGUAUGGUGUAGCGGUGAAAUGCUUAGAGAUCAUACAGAACACCGAUUGCGAAGGCAGCUUACCAAUCUAUAUCUGACGUUGAGGCACGAAAGCGUGGGGAGCAAACAGGAUUAGAUACCCCGGUAGUC